RNAcentral lists this ribosomal RNA (377 nucleotides) under uncultured organism. RNAcentral describes it as "bacterial SSU rRNA". It matches the Rfam family "Bacterial small subunit ribosomal RNA", at positions 526 to 896 of the family's 1533-position model. The record is from RNAcentral.
CAGAGGAGCCAAGCGUUGUCCGGAUUGACUGGGCGUAAAGCGCACGCAGGCGGACGCGCGCGUGGGGUGUGAAAUCUGGCCGCUUAACGGCCAGGCGCCAUCCCAUACGGCGCGUCUGGAGCCUUGCAGAGGUCGGUGGAAUUGCCGGUGUAGUGGUGAAAUGCGUAGAGAUCGGCAGGAACACCCAGGGGGAAACCAGCCGACUGGGCAAGCGCUGACGCUGAGGUGCGAGAGCGUGGGGAGCGAACCGGAUUAGAUACCCGGGUAGUCCACGCCGUAAACGAUGGCCACUCGGCCUUUGGGGGCGGAUUAUCCGUCCGUGGGGGCCUUAGCAAACGCGGGAAGUGGCCCGCCUGGGAACUACGAGCGCAAGCUUA